AAAUUAAAAGAGGAGAGGUUAGUUUUAUUUUCAUAAUUGAUGUGGCAGUUCUGACCAUUUCAUGCUCAAAUGGGUGCAAAAUCUUGCAAACUUCUAUGAAAUUUUUAUCGCCAUCGUCAUCAUGAUCGCAAUAUUAUCAUCUCCAUCUUCAUACGACCUUUGUAGAUUUUUUUAUUUAAAUGAUGAUUCUAGGCGGUUAUCAAUUUUCAAUGGUUAUAUUGGUUAGUUCAAUUCAUACAUUUAUCUACCCAAAAAAUAAAACAUACUUGAACUUUUAUUUUCCAAACUCCUUUCUUCGUCCUCUUCAAUAUUUUUUAUUUUUCUUCUAUUAUUUAUUCGUCGCAUCGCGCGGGUUACUAUACUAGUUAUAUAUAAUUGGGUAUGGAUAUGCCAGGGAUAUGGAUAUGCCAGGGCUCGAAGUCAUUUUUAAUUAUUAUAUGGCAUAUAUANAUUACACCAUUACACCAUUACCAUUACACUAUUACACCAUUACACCAUUACCAAUACACCAUUACACCAUUUACGCCAUUACACCAUUACACCAUUUGCCGACGGAGAAGAACACGCGCGAGUCUUUUUCAUUUUCUUCUUCUUUUUCAUUUUCUUUUUCUUCCUUCUGCGGAGGACCUCGACUCUCUCGAUCUCCGCUGACGGGGGCACCCCUUCCGCCGCC
This 673-nucleotide long non-coding RNA is filed under the name Ananas comosus (pineapple). RNAcentral describes it as "long non-coding RNA (ACOM_LNC004660)". The record is from RNAcentral. Lineage: Eukaryota; Viridiplantae; Streptophyta; Magnoliopsida; Poales; Bromeliaceae.